RNAcentral lists this long non-coding RNA (484 nucleotides) under Triticum aestivum (bread wheat). Its description in RNAcentral is "long non-coding RNA (TAES_LNC002251)". Lineage: Eukaryota; Viridiplantae; Streptophyta; Magnoliopsida; Poales; Poaceae. The record is from RNAcentral.
GCUAAACUGCAUUAACACACCAAGAUACAACAAGGCUGUUUCUCAACAACAACAAAAAGAUACAACAAGGUUGUUUCUCAACAACAACAACAACAAAAAGGUUACAACAAGGCUGUUUCUCAACAACAACAACAACAACAACAACAACAAGAUACAACAAGGCCAUCCAGGUUACAUACAUAAUACAUACUCUAAUACAUGCAUACACGCUGGCUACCAAAAGGUCAUCUCCAUGACUUGGUGGAGUUGGGACUCUGCCCAUGAAUAAACGGCCUCCACUGCACCAGGUCGGAAAGAAACCAGAGCCACAAACCACUGAACUGGGCAUAAACUCUCUCAAUGUUAGCUCACCAGCUGAGCUGGUCUCACAUGCUGCCAGCAGUGGGGUUAAAAACCAGGGUUGCCACACUUAUCAAGUUGGAUCUAGUAUCCUGCAAAUUACUACAAACUUCAGCGCCAAAGCGGACUCUCCAAAACAUGCUUC